This 427-nucleotide ribosomal RNA is filed under the name uncultured bacterium. RNAcentral's name for it is "bacterial SSU rRNA". It matches the Rfam family "Bacterial small subunit ribosomal RNA", at positions 335 to 755 of the family's 1533-position model. The record is from RNAcentral.
ACUCCUACGGGAGGCAGCAGUGGGGAAUAUUGCACAAUGGGCGCAAGCCUGAUGCAGCCAUGCCGCGUGUAUGAAGAAGGCCUUCGGUUGUAAAGUACUUUCAGCAGUGAGGAAGGUGGAUAUGUUAAUAGCAUAUUCAUUUGACGUUUAGCUGCAGAAGAAGCACCGGCUAACUCCGUGCCAGCAGCCGCGGUAAUACGGAGGGUGCGAGCGUUAAUCGGAAUUACUGGGCGUAAAGCGCAUGCAGGUGGUUUGUUAAGUCAGAUGUGAAAGCCCGGGGCUCAACCUCGGAAUUGCAUUUGAAACUGGCAAACUAGAGUACUGUAGAGGGGGUAGAAUUUCAGGUGUAGCGGUGAAAUGCGUAGAGAUCUGAAGGAAUACCGGUGGCGAAGGCGGCCCCCUGGACAGAUACUGACACUCAGAUGCG